RNAcentral lists this ribosomal RNA (475 nucleotides) under Veillonella parvula. RNAcentral's name for it is "bacterial SSU rRNA". It matches the Rfam family "Bacterial small subunit ribosomal RNA", at positions 28 to 474 of the family's 1533-position model. Lineage: Bacteria; Bacillati; Bacillota; Negativicutes; Veillonellales; Veillonellaceae. The record is from RNAcentral.
GACGAACGCGGCGGCGUGCUUAACACAUGCAAGUCGAACGAAGAGCGACGGAAGCUUACUUCUAUCAAUCUUAGUGGCGAACGGGUGAGUAACGCGUAAUCAACCUGCCCUUCAGAGGGGGACAACAGUUGGAAACGACUGCUAAUACCGCAUACGAUCUAAUCACGGCAUCGAGGAUAGAUGAAAGGUGGCCUCUACAUGUAAGCUAUCACUGAAGGAGGGGAUGCGUCUGAUUAGCUAGUUGGAGGGGUAACGGCCCACCAAGGCGAUGAUCAGUAGCCGGUCUGAGAGGAUGAACGGCCACAUUGGGACUGAGACACGGCCCAGACUCCUACGGGAGGCAGCAGUGGGGAAUCUUCCGCAAUGGACGAAAGUCUGACGGAGCAGCGCCGCGUGAGUGAUGACGGCCUUCGGGUUGUAAAGCUCUGUUAAUCGGGACGAAAGGCCUUCUUGCGAAUAGUUAGAAGGAUUGACG